This 546-nucleotide long non-coding RNA is filed under the name Ananas comosus (pineapple). RNAcentral describes it as "long non-coding RNA (ACOM_LNC019281)". The record is from RNAcentral. Lineage: Eukaryota; Viridiplantae; Streptophyta; Magnoliopsida; Poales; Bromeliaceae.
AUUCAAAAGGCAAUAAAAAAAAUAAUAAAAAUAAAAAUAGAAAUUAAAAAGAAAGAGAAAAAGUGUAAAAAAUGCAGUCAUUUGGACUAUGGUUAUAAAAAUAAAAAUAAAAUAAAAAGUUUUUUAUGGUGUCGAUAAAAAAUAAAAGUUGAAGUGGCUAUUUUAGAAUUGCUUAUAGUUAGCAUAGUUAGAGUUAGUUAAUUCGUGAAUUAUUAAAAAUUCGAAUAAAACGGCAUGUAUACAAUUCAUUCCUAAAAAGUCAGAAUAAUACGCGAAUCGUUUGAUUAGAUUUAUUAUUCGCGAAUAAUUCACAAAUGCUGAACUAUUCGGCCAAAAAAACACGCAAAUUUUUUAAAUAAAAUUUCUUUCUGAAUUAUCGUCGAAUUAUUCACGAAUUAUUAAAAAACUUCAUGAACUUUCGAAAUAUGUGGAACAUGAAAAACAUGAGGAUGGAGACGACAAUAAAAUUUACUAUCAUUUUUUUUACUUAAUCUACUUUAUUUUGUAGCUCUCUUUUUUUAUAUUUUUAAGAAUUUAUAACUAUGA